This 512-nucleotide ribosomal RNA is filed under the name uncultured bacterium. RNAcentral describes it as "bacterial SSU rRNA". It matches the Rfam family "Bacterial small subunit ribosomal RNA", at positions 15 to 518 of the family's 1533-position model. The record is from RNAcentral.
GAUUCUGGCUCAGGAUGAACGCUAGCUACAGGCUUAACACAUGCAAGUCGAGGGGCAGCAUUGGAGUAGCAAUACUCAGAUGGCGACCGGCGCACGGGUGAGUAACACGUAUCCAACCUGCCGCUUACUCGGGGAUAGCCUUUCGAAAGAAAGAUUAAUACCCGAUGGUAUAAAGAGUUCGCAUGUUCUCUUUAUUAAAGAAUUUCGGUAAGCGAUGGGGAUGCGUUCCAUUAGAUAGUUGGCGGGGUAACGGCCCACCAAGUCUACGAUGGAUAGGGGUUCUGAGAGGAAGGUCCCCCACAUUGGAACUGAGACACGGUCCAAACUCCUACGGGAGGCAGCAGUGAGGAAUAUUGGUCAAUGGACGAGAGUCUGAACCAGCCAAAAGUAGCGUGAAGGAUGACUGCCCCAUGGGUUGUAAACUUCUUUUAUAAGGGAAUAAAGUGAGGGACGUGUCCCUUUUUGUAUGUACCUUAUGAAUAAGGAUCGGCUAACUCCGUGCCAGCCGCCGC